Phragmites australis (common reed) is the source of this 1521-nucleotide RNA transcript. RefSeq lists it as uncharacterized. The record is from RefSeq and is a predicted model, not a curated record. Lineage: Eukaryota; Viridiplantae; Streptophyta; Magnoliopsida; Poales; Poaceae. The transcript is spliced from 2 exons.
GAGAGAGAUAAGUACUGGAUGGAUCGGUCCUCAACCCGAUCCAUCCAGACUCUUCAGUGCUCGUGCUUCGCGUCUUUCUCUCGCGUGUCUCUCUCUCUCACACACUCUCUCUCUCCAUCGCUGCUGUGCGCUGCUGUCCGCUGCGCCGGCCGUCGCCGCCAGAGCGUCGCGCCGCCGUGCGCUCGCGUUGCUGCCGCGCUGCCGUCCGCCGCGCCGGCCGUCGCUGCCAGAGCUAGCGUCGCGCCGUCGUGCGCCUGCGCGCCGCUGCCGCGUGCGCCGCGCCGCCGCCGUCGCGCCGCCGUGCGCGCUGCCGCCACCUGCUCUGUGCUGGCCGCCGUGAAGAAGCAAGCAGCAGCCAGCACCGAAGAAGCAAGCAAGCUGCCGGCAGAGCAAAGAAGCCAGGAAGAAAAAAGAGAAAAGAAAAGAAAAGAAAAGGAAAGAGGAAAAAAAAAGAAGAAGAAAGAAAGGAAAAAAAAAGGGAAAAAAAAGAAGGAAAAGGGAAAAGUUGGAAAUUUCGGAUUUUCGUCGGAUUCAUCGUCAAUCUUUCGAAGGUGAUUUCUCGAUGGUACUAUUUUCGGACGUUCUUGAUCGAAUUUUCUUCAUCGUCGGUAAAGGCAAGUGAAUGUAUUGUAUGACUAUGCUUUAACCUAAUAUUGGGUUGCCUACAUUCUUUAAUUACAGUGCAUUCAUCUAAUCUGAAUGACUGAUUCUGGACUGAGUACUAUGUUGUUUACGUUUCCAGAAGUUUACUCGAUGAUUGAUUUAUGAAGUGCAGUAGGCAUAAUAUGCCAUUCUGCAGUUGUUCAUUAGUGUUGUAUGCGAUGUUUUUUUUGAAGUCUCAAGCAUAUUCCGGAAGUUAUGUUGGUUAUGCUUGAAGCACGUCAUACAUAUAUGUCUCAUGCAUUGGAAGUUUGUCGUCGUCUUCUGGCCGCGACCGUACCGGUACAGUACCGUAUGUCACCCGAGAAGGGGUACGGUGCACACCCUUACGUUACCCGAGGAGGGGUAAGGGUGAGAAGAGCAUGUCAUGUGCAUGGUUAUGUCUUCUUGUGAAAUUCAAUGAAUUAUUCAUAUCAAAUCUUAUUUCCUUUAAUUAGCGUGUAUAUAGAUAUAUAUGCGGCUCUGAAGGCUUAUACCAACCGAAUGUUAAAAUGUUUAAUGUUAUCGUUGGAUUUGCUUAGUCAUAACUGUUUCUCCUGGUGUUGGCGGUCUGUUUCAUUACUAGUUUCUAUUUAGAAUUGUUAGCACAUUCAACUGUGGCUAAAUAGCUUUUUGUUAAAGUACCUUUCACUUGCUGAGAUUUUCGAAUCUCACCCGUGUUUUUUUUACAGGUAUGUUUAGAUGUUGACGUGCAUUUUGGGGAUGGAUCUCGGUAGCUGCACACACUAACUUAUCACGAUGUCGAUAGCUCAACCGGUGUAUACAAGUGGUGUGUCUGAUGGUCCGUCGUUUGUUUUUGUUUAUGUUGUGGUACGACGCUGGUAGCGUCGUGGUGGACUCUAUAUAUAUGCUGGUUAUAUC